GAGUUUGAUCAUGGCUCAGGACGAACGCUGGCGGCGUGCCUAAUACAUGCAAGUAGAACGCUGAAGAGAGGAGCUUGCUCUUCUUGGAUGAGUUGCGAACGGGUGAGUAACGCGUAGGUAACCUGCCUUGUAGCGGGGGAUAACUAUUGGAAACGAUAGCUAAUACCGCAUAACAAUAGGUGACACAUGUCAUUUAUUUGAAAGGGGCAAUUGCUCCACUACAAGAUGGACCUGCGUUGUAUUAGCUAGUAGGUGAGGUAACGGCUCACCUAGGCGACGAUACAUAGCCGACCUGAGAGGGUGAUCGGCCACACUGGGACUGAGACACGGCCCAGACUCCUACGGGAGGCAGCAGUAGGGAAUCUUCGGCAAUGGGGGCAACCCUGACCGAGCAACGCCGCGUGAGUGAAGAAGGUUUUCGGAUCGUAAAGCUCUGUUGUAAGUCAAGAACGAGUGUGAGAGUGGAAAGUUCACACUGUGACGGUAGCUUACCAGAAAGGGACGGCUAACUACGUGCCAGCAGCCGCGGUAAUACGUAGGUCCCGAGCGUUGUCCGGAUUUAUUGGGCGUAAAGCGAGCGCAGGCGGUUUGAUAAGUCUGAAGUUAAAGGCUGUGGCUCAACCAUAGUUCGCUUUGGAAACUGUCAAACUUGAGUGCAGAAGGGGAGAGUGGAAUUCCAUGUGUAGCGGUGAAAUGCGUAGAUAUAUGGAGGAACACCGGUGGCGAAAGCGGCUCUCUGGUCUGUAACUGACGCUGAGGCUCGAAAGCGUGGGGAGCGAACAGGAUUAGAUACCCUGGUAGUCCACGCCGUAAACGAUGAGUGCUAGGUGUUGGAUCCUUUCCGGGAUUCAGUGCCGCAGCUAACGCAUUAAGCACUCCGCCUGGGGAGUACGACCGCAAGGUUGAAACUCAAAGGAAUUGACGGGGGCCCGCACAAGCGGUGGAGCAUGUGGUUUAAUUCGAAGCAACGCGAAGAACCUUACCAGGUCAUGACAUCCCGAUGCUAUUUCUAGAGAUAGAAAGUUACUUCGGUACAUCGGUGACAGGUGGUGCAUGGUUGUCGUCAGCUCGUGUCGUGAGAUGUUGGGUUAAGUCCCGCAACGAGCGCAACCCCUAUUGUUAGUUGCCAUCAUUCAGUUGGGCACUCUAGCGAGACUGCCGGUAAUAAACCGGAGGAAGGUGGGGAUGACGUCAAAUCAUCAUGCCCCUUAUGACCUGGGCUACACACGUGCUACAAUGGUUGGUACAACGAGUUGCGAGUCGGUGACGGCAAGCUAAUCUCUUAAAGCCAAUCUCAGUUCGGAUUGUAGGCUGCAACUCGCCUACAUGAAGUCGGAAUCGCUAGUAAUCGCGGAUCAGCACGCCGCGGUGAAUACGUUCCCGGGCCUUGUACACACCGCCCGUC
RNAcentral lists this ribosomal RNA (1405 nucleotides) under uncultured bacterium. RNAcentral's name for it is "bacterial SSU rRNA". It matches the Rfam family "Bacterial small subunit ribosomal RNA". The record is from RNAcentral.